RNAcentral lists this long non-coding RNA (640 nucleotides) under Vitis vinifera (wine grape). RNAcentral describes it as "long non-coding RNA (VVIN_LNC007896)". The record is from RNAcentral. Lineage: Eukaryota; Viridiplantae; Streptophyta; Magnoliopsida; Vitales; Vitaceae.
AAAAAAAAAAACUCUUAAGUUCAAAAGGCCCUUUGAUAAUCAACAAAAAAACCACAAAAGGCCUGUUAUUGAACUCAAUUAAAGUACAAAAAUAUAUCUCUUCUUUUUGCAAUUUCUCUCGGAGAAAGAUCAAACCGACGCAACAAACCCCAUCAACAACUCUUGAAAUCAAGAUCCUCUUCUUCGAAUCGCGCAACGCAACAAGAUCUCUCUUAGGAGCCAAGAUUUCUCCUAUUCCAGGCCACAAAUCGCGCCGAUAACAAGCCGAAACACCUCCUUGGAUCGAUCUAUCGCCCCGAUUCUUCGAUCAGGUGAAAUUUCAGCCGGGGAGCGGAUCGGAACGGCGGAAACGUUAGAAACCCCGAUCUUGAAAGGCGAUCGGUGAAAAAGAGCACGAAAGUAUGCGUCUCAAUGAAGAGACAUUGAAUCUCCGGGUAAGCCCUCGCUCUCUCUUCUUGGCCGCCUUCUUCUUCCUGCUGCUUGGAAGCUUUUUCAAGGGUUUCUUGCCUUUUUCUUGAUUCUGAUAAUCUUGCCCUCUUUUCGCUUCGAUGAAUAGACAAUGCAUUUGAGGGAUGUGUUUAUAUAGAGGUCCGUUAAGGAUGGGCCGCGCCGACCUUGGCCUCCACGCUUCCAGCCCAAC